RNAcentral lists this ribosomal RNA (333 nucleotides) under uncultured methanogenic archaeon. Its description in RNAcentral is "bacterial SSU rRNA". It matches the Rfam family "Archaeal small subunit ribosomal RNA", at positions 301 to 631 of the family's 1478-position model. The record is from RNAcentral. Lineage: Archaea; Methanobacteriati; Methanobacteriota.
UACGGGGGGAAGAAGGCGAGUUCCCUACGGGGUGCAGCAGGCGCGAAAACUGUUACAAUGCGGGAAACCGUGAUAAGGGGACACCGAGUGCCAGCAUCAUAUGCUGGCUGUCCGGAUGUGUAAAAUACAUCCGUUAGCAAGGGCCGGGCAAGACCGGUGCCAGCCGCCGCGGUAACACCGGCGGCCCGAGUGGUGAUCGUGAUUAUUGGGUCUAAAGGGUCCGUAGCCGGUUUGGUCAGUCCUCCGGGAAAUCUGAUAGCUCAACUAUUAGGCUUUCGGGGGAUACUGCCAGACUUGGAACCGGGAGAGGUAAGAGGUACUCCAGGGGUAGGA